UAGGGAAUCUUCCACAAUGGACGAAAGUCUGAUGGAGCAACGCCGCGUGAGUGAUGAAGGGUUUCGGCUCGUAAAACUCUGUUGUUGGAGAAGAACGGGUGUCAGAGUAACUGUUGACAUCGUGACGGUAUCCAACCAGAAAGCCACGGCUAACUACGUGCCAGCAGCCGCGGUAAUACGUAGGUGGCAAGCGUUGUCCGGAUUUAUUGGGCGUAAAGCGAGCGCAGGCGGUUUUUUAGGUCUGAUGUGAAAGCCUUCGGCUUAACCGGAGAAGUGCAUCGGAAACCGGGAGACUUGAGUGCAGAAGAGGACAGUGGAACUCCAUGUGUAGCGGUGAAAUGCGUAGAUAUAUGGAAGAACACCAGUGGCGAAGGCGGCUCUCUGGUCUGCAACUGACGCUGAGGCUCGAAAGCAUGGGUAGCGAACAGGAUUAGAUACCCUGGUAGUCCAUGCCGUAAACGAUGAGUGCUAAGUGUUGGGAGGCUUCCGCCUCUCAGUGCUGCAGCUAACGCAUUAAGCACUCCGCCUGGGGGAGUACGACCGCAAGGUUGAAAC
Molecule: ribosomal RNA, 555 nt
Filed under: uncultured bacterium
Lineage: Bacteria
Description: partial 16S ribosomal RNA
Rfam family: Bacterial small subunit ribosomal RNA
Source: RNAcentral